This is a non-coding RNA of Caenorhabditis elegans, 134 nucleotides long. The record is from Ensembl. Lineage: Eukaryota; Metazoa; Nematoda; Chromadorea; Rhabditida; Rhabditidae.
CUAUAUUUUUCGCUAUUUUGCUUGCUGUUGAAACGUGCGCUUGUGCAAUUCUGAAUGAUCUUUAGAAGAGGAGCAGACGCAAUGAUGAUGAUGGCAAGAGGAUGCAAAGACGACUAGAGUGGGAAGGAAGAACA